Molecule: ribosomal RNA, 525 nt
Filed under: uncultured bacterium
Lineage: Bacteria
Description: bacterial SSU rRNA
Rfam family: Bacterial small subunit ribosomal RNA
Source: RNAcentral
AGAGUUUGAUCCUGGCUUAGGAUGAACGCUAGCGGCAGGCUUAACACAUGCAAGUCGAGGGGCAUCGGGAGUAGCAAUACUUGCCGGCGACCGGCGCAAGGGUGCGUAACGCGUGAGCAACAUGCCCGUAUCAGGGGGAUAAUCCAUGGAAACGUGGUCUAAUACCCCAUAGUAAUUAUGUAAGGCAUCUUAUAUAAUUUAAAGCUUUGGUGGAUACGGAUUGGCUCGCGUGACAUUAGCUGGAUGGUAAGGUAACGGCUUACCAUGGCUACGAUGUCUAGGGGUUCUGAGAGGAAGGUCCCCCACACUGGAACUGAGACACGGUCCAGACUCCUACGGGAGGCAGCAGUGAGGAAUAUUGGACAAGUGGGGGGAACCCUGACCCAGCCAUGCCCGCGUGAGGAAUGAGGCCCUACGGGUCGUGAACCUUCUUUUGCCGUGGGGAACAACCGGCGGGAUCGCGAACUCCCCGCCUGGCCGGGUACCAGGCGAAUAAGCAUCGGCUAACUCCGUGCCAGCCGCCGC